Molecule: ribosomal RNA, 2299 nt
Filed under: uncultured Streptococcus sp.
Lineage: Bacteria; Bacillati; Bacillota; Bacilli; Lactobacillales; Streptococcaceae
Description: partial contains 16S ribosomal RNA, 16S-23S ribosomal RNA intergenic spacer, and 23S ribosomal RNA
Rfam family: Bacterial small subunit ribosomal RNA (bases 1-1532)
Source: RNAcentral
GACGAACGCUGGCGGCGUGCCUAAUACAUGCAAGUGGAACGCAUUUAUAACUACCGUAGCUUGCUACAACUGCUAUAAAUGAGUCGCGAACGGGUGAGUAACGCGUAGGUAACCUACCUUUAAGCGGGGGAUAACUAUUGGAAACGAUAGCUAAUACCGCAUAAAAGGAGCUAACCCAUGUUAGCUUUUUAAAAGGUGCAACAGCAUCACUUAAAGAUGGACCUGCGUUGUAUUAGCUAGUUGGUAAGGUAACGGCUUACCAAGGCUUCGAUACAUAGCCGACCUGAGAGGGUGAUCGGCCACACUGGGACUGAGACACGGCCCAGACUCCUACGGGAGGCAGCAGUAGGGAAUCUUCGGCAAUGGGGGGAACCCUGACCGAGCAACGCCGCGUGAGUGAAGAAGGUUUUCGGAUCGUAAAGCUCUGUUAUAAGCGAAGAACAGGAGUAAGAGUGGAAAGUUUACUCUAUGACGGUAGCUUAUCAGAAAGGGACGGCUAACUACGUGCCAGCAGCCGCGGUAAUACGUAGGUCCCGAGCGUUGUCCGGAUUUAUUGGGCGUAAAGCGAGCGCAGGUGGUUUAAUAAGUCUGAAGUUAAAGGCAGUGGCUCAACCAUUGUACGCUUUGGAAACUGUUAAACUUGAGUGCAGAAGGGGAGAGUGGAAUUCCAUGUGUAGCGGUGAAAUGCGUAGAUAUAUGGAGGAACACCGGUGGCGAAAGCGGCUCUCUGGUCUGUAACUGACACUGAGGCUCGAAAGCGUGGGUAGCGAACAGGAUUAGAUACCCUGGUAGUCCACGCCGUAAACGAUGAGUGCUAGGUGUUGGGUCCUUUCCGGGACUCAGUGCCGCAGCUAACGCAUUAAGCACUCCGCCUGGGGAGUACGACCGCAAGGUUGAAACUCAAAGGAAUUGACGGGGGCCCGCACAAGCGGUGGAGCAUGUGGUUUAAUUCGAAGCAACGCGAAGAACCUUACCAGGUCUUGACAUCCCGGUGCCGGUUCUAGAGAUAGAACUUUUCUUAGGAACACUGGAGACAGGUGGUGCAUGGUUGUCGUCAGCUCGUGUCGUGAGAUGUUGGGUUAAGUCCCGCAACGAGCGCAACCCCUAUUGUUAGUUGCCAUCAUUAAGUUGGGCACUCUAGCGAGACUGCCGGUAAUAAACCGGAGGAAGGUGGGGAUGACGUCAAAUCAUCAUGCCCCUUAUGACCUGGGCUACACACGUGCUACAAUGGUCGGUACAACGAGUUGCGAGCUGGUGACAGUAAGCUAAUCUCUUAAAGCCGAUCUCAGUUCGGAUUGUAGGCUGCAACUCGCCUACAUGAAGUCGGAAUCGCUAGUAAUCGCGGAUCAGCACGCCGCGGUGAAUACGUUCCCGGGCCUUGUACACACCGCCCGUCACACCACGAGAGUUUGUAACACCCGAAGUCGGUGAGGUAACCUUUUAGGAGCCAGCCGCCUAAGGUGGGAUAGAUGAUUGGGGUGAAGUCGUAACAAGGUAGCCGUAUCGGAAGGUGCGGCUGGAUCACCUCCUUUCUAAGGAAAUGGAAGCACGUUUGGUAACUUUAUUUAGUUUUGAGAGGUCUUUGUGGGGCCUUAGCUCAGCUGGGAGAGCGCCUGCUUUGCACGCAGGAGGUCAGCGGUUCGAUCCCGCUAGGCUCCAUUGAAUCGAAAGGUUCAAGCUAGUCCAUUGAAAAUUGAAUAUCUAUAUCAAAAAAUUCCACGAUCAAAUUAAAGAUUGUAGAAUAGUAACAAGAAAUAAACCGAAAACGCUGAAAAUAUUUACUGAGAAAACGGUCGUAAGACCUAAAAUAAGGUUAAGUUAAUAAGGGCGCACGGUGGAUGCCUUGGCACUAGAAGCCGAAGAAGGACGUGACUAACGACGAAAUGCUUUGGGGAGCUGUAAGUAAGCGCCGAUCCAGAGAUGUCCGAAUGGGGGAACCCACUAGCUAAUGGCUAGUAUCCGUAACUGUUAAGGUUAUGAGAAGGAAGACGCAGUGAACUGAAACAUCUAAGUAGCUGCAGGAAGAGAAAGCAAACGCGAUUGCCUUAGUAGCGGCGAGCGAAACGGCAGUAGGGCAAACCGAGGAGUUUACUCCUCGGGGUUGUAGGACUGCGCUAUAGGACUAAGCGACAUAAAAGAAUGACUUGGGAAGGUCAGCCAGAGAGAGUAACAGCCUCGUAUUUGAAAUGACAAUUAGCCUUAGCAGUAUCCUGAGUACGGCGAGACACGCGAAAUCUCGUCGGAAGCAGGGAGGACCAUCUCCCAACCCUAAAUACUCUCUAGUGACCGAUAGUGAACC